Molecule: non-coding RNA, 1347 nt
Organism: Heterocephalus glaber (naked mole-rat)
Lineage: Eukaryota; Metazoa; Chordata; Mammalia; Rodentia; Bathyergidae
Source: RefSeq, a predicted model, not a curated record
GUUGGCAGAUGAUUUUAACUUUUCCCCAGUAUCUUGCUAACGAGAAGGGAAGGCUUGGUAGUACACUAACCUGGUAGACUGGCUGAAGAGCUUGUGACUCGUAGCUAGGGUAGAUUUCUUGAAGUAUAAAAAGUCUCCCUUAUGGAGCUCCAUUCUUUUGGAAUACAACAUGAACUUCCUAGGUAUAAGACUUAAAAUCAGUGUAUCCCAAGAACAGGGCUAAGGACUGAGUCACAUAAAACCAAGGCUUGAAGAUUUAUCAAGUACAGAUACUUCACUAUUGGUGAGGGAAAAGCCCAGUGCAUUGUCACAGGGUUGUAGAGAAACAGAGUAGAAUGUUCCAGAAUGGAACCUUCUGAGAGUUCCUUGACAAACACCUGGUUUUCAUCCCUUCUUAUUCAUUUCUGACUUAUUCUUUCCUUCACUCAGUUUUCUAAUCAUACAGAAAUCCUCUUGGGAAUUUAGAAAACUGUUGUGAUUUACCUAGGAAACUGAUGCAACACAAAGAAUAAACUCAGGGAUCGAACUUGGGUCCUUGCACCUGUGCAGCAGGUGGCAAAACCAAUGAGCUAAAUCCCCGGCCCUUGUGUUUUAAUUUUCUUCUUCUUGCUCUAAAUUUCAAAAGUAUCAAUUGGAAAAAACAAAUAUAAAGGUAACGUCCUAUCUCUCAAUCAGCCAAUUCUGUUCAAGUGAAACUUGCUUCAGUAGGUUAAAUUCCUUAUAGUUCAUAAAAAUAAUCACAAAUAUAAAGUUUACUUUAAAUGGAAAAAUGGGGUCAUGCUAUACCAGUCAUUCUGCAAAAAUAAUUUUCAUGUAAUUUAUAAAGUAAAUUCCUCCUGGCUAUUGCACAGAUCUACCUCCUAUGAGGUGCAAAACAUUCCACAGUAUGUAUACACAAUUUCUUUUCAAAGAUCUUAUAUUUUUUUGCUGUUUUUCUUGCCACAAACCACCCACCAUUAUAUACAUCCUUACCUAAUGUUACUUUUAUUACCAAAAUUGGUCCAAAAAAGUGUUAUCACUCUCCCCCUUUUCAUUUAUGUAUUUAUUUUAACAGGUAUUAUCAGAUUUGGUUCCUAGAAGGCUGAAAUAUUUUAUAUCCUAUCAUAAAUAACUGAGUGUUGGAAUUCUUCCAUCCUCACAGGUAUUUGACACUGUAUUUGUUAAGUUAACAGCUACAAAAUGGUGCUUCUCCAUUCACUACUGAGGGUGAGCUUCUUUGCCUACUAAAUAAAGGUCACUUCUGUAAAUUUCUCAUUUUUAAGCCUUAUGCACCACUAUGCUUUUUUUUUCCAACCUGAAGGUAUUCUCUACAGGAAAAAUUACAUAUCACUGGCUUUAACUUCCUUU